GUCCUUUUGUUUAAAAUUUAAGGUCUAACCUGCCCACUGAUUUUUUUUGAAUGGCCGCGGUAUUUUGACCGUGCUAAGGUAGCAUAAUCAUUAGUUUUUUAAUUGAAAGCUGGAAUGAAGGGUUGAAUGAAAAAAUAACUGUCUCUUAUAAAUUUUAUUAGAAUUUUAUUUUUAAGUUAAAAAGCUUAAAUAAGUUUAAAAGACGAGAAGACCCUAUAGAGUUUAAUAUAAUAAUUUUUAUAAAAAUAAAGUAUUUAAUUUUUAGUAUAAUUGUUAUAUUUGGUUGGGGUGAUUAAAAAAUUUAAUUAACUUUUUUUUUAUUUAAAUAUAAAUUAAUAAGAAAUUGAUCCAAAUUUUUUGAUUAUAAGAAUAAAUUACCUUAGGGAUAACAGCGUAAUUAUAUUGGAGAGUUCUAAUCGAUAAUAUAGAUUGCGA
Molecule: ribosomal RNA, 435 nt
Filed under: Psylliodes laevicollis
Lineage: Eukaryota; Metazoa; Arthropoda; Insecta; Coleoptera; Chrysomelidae
Description: partial 16S large subunit ribosomal RNA
Source: RNAcentral